UAGGGAAUAUUGGACAAUGGGUGAGAGCCUGAUCCAGCCAUGCCGCGUGCAGGAAGAAGGCGUUAUGCGUUGUAAACUGCUUUUUGCCAGGGGAUAAAAUGACCGUGCGCGGUUAAUUGAAGGUACCUGGUGAAUAAGCCACGGCUAACUACGUGCCAGCAGCCGCGGUAAUACGUAGGUGGCAAGCGUUGUCCGGAUUUAUUGGGUUUAAAGGGUGCGUAGGUGGCCCUGUAAGUCAGUGGUGAAAUAUCUCAGCUUAACUGAGAGGGUGCCAUUGAUACUGCAGGGCUUGAGUACAGAUGAGGUAGGCGGAAUUGACGGUGUAGCGGUGAAAUGCAUAGAUAUCGUCAAGAACACCGAUAGCGAAGGCAGCUUACCAAGCUGUAACUGACACUGAGGCACGAAAGUGUGGGGAUCAAACAGGAUUAGAUACCCGAGUAGUCCCUGAGCGGGCUGGCAAGGCGCAU
This 467-nucleotide ribosomal RNA is filed under the name uncultured bacterium. Its description in RNAcentral is "bacterial SSU rRNA". It matches the Rfam family "Bacterial small subunit ribosomal RNA", at positions 355 to 825 of the family's 1533-position model. The record is from RNAcentral.